AGUCGGAAUCGCUAGUAAUCGCAGAUCAGCAUGUUGCGGUGAAUACGUUCCCGGGUCUUGUACACACCGCCCGUCACACCACGGAAGUUGGGGCGCCCGAAGCCACUUAGCUAACCCUUUUGGGAAGCGAGUGUCGAAGGUGAAAUCAAUAACUGGGGUGAAGUCGUAACAAGGUAAC
Molecule: ribosomal RNA, 178 nt
Filed under: uncultured bacterium
Lineage: Bacteria
Description: partial 16S ribosomal RNA
Rfam family: Bacterial small subunit ribosomal RNA
Source: RNAcentral